UACGAAGGGGGCUAGCGUUGUUCGGAUUUACUGGGCGUAAAGGGCGCGUAGGCGGAUUUUUAAGUCAGGGGUGAAAUCCCAAGGCUCAACCUUGGAACUGCCUUUGAUACUGGGAAUCUUGAGUCCGGGAGAGGUGAGUGGAACUGCGAGUGUAGAGGUGAAAUUCGUAGAUAUUCGCAAGAACACCAGUGGCGAAGGCGGCUCACUGGCCCGGAACUGACGCUGAGGCGCGAAGGCUAGGGGAGCGAACGGG
Molecule: ribosomal RNA, 253 nt
Filed under: uncultured bacterium
Lineage: Bacteria
Description: partial 16S ribosomal RNA
Rfam family: Bacterial small subunit ribosomal RNA
Source: RNAcentral